RNAcentral lists this ribosomal RNA (460 nucleotides) under uncultured marine microorganism. RNAcentral's name for it is "bacterial SSU rRNA". It matches the Rfam family "Bacterial small subunit ribosomal RNA", at positions 355 to 830 of the family's 1533-position model. The record is from RNAcentral.
UGGGGAAUUUUCCGCAAUGGGCGAAAGCCUGACGGAGCAAUACCGCGUGAGGGAGGAAUGCCUUUGGGUUGUAAACCUCUUUUCUCAGGGAAGAAGAUCUGACGGUACCUGAGGAAUAAGUAUCGGCUAACUCCGUGCCAGCAGCCGCGGUAAUACGGAGGAUGCAAGCGUUAUCCGGAAUCAUUGGGCGUAAAGCGUCCGCAGGUGGUUUCCAAAGUCUGCUGUUAAAGACUGGAGCUCAACUCCGGAGCGGCGGUGGAAACUUGGAAACUAGAGUUCGGUAGGGGUAGCAGGAAUUCCCAGUGUAGCGGUGAAAUGCGUAGAUAUUGGGAAGAACAUCAGUGGCGAAGGCGUGCUACUGGACCGUAACUGACACUCAGGGACGAAAGCUAGGGGAGCGAAAGGGAUUAGAUACCCCUGUAGUCCUAGCUGUAAACGAUGGAAACUAGGUGUGGCUUGA